Molecule: long non-coding RNA, 384 nt
Filed under: Salmo salar (Atlantic salmon)
Lineage: Eukaryota; Metazoa; Chordata; Actinopteri; Salmoniformes; Salmonidae
Description: lncRNA (ENSSSAG00000109040.1)
Source: RNAcentral
GGUAUGUGACUGUAGGUGGAGGUAAAGUGGUAUGGGACUGCAGGUGGAGGUAUGGGACUGUAGGUGGAGGUAAAGAGGUAUGGGACUGUAGGUGGAGGUAUAGAGGUAUGAGACUGUAGGUGGAGGUAUAGAGGUAUGGGACUGUAGGUGGAGGUAUAGAGGUAUGGGACUGUAGGUGGAGGUAUAGAGGUAUGGGACUGUAGGUGGAGGUAUAGAGGUAUGGGACUGUAGGUGGAGGUAUAGAGGUAUGGGACUGUAGGUGGAGGUAUAGAGGUAUGGGACUGUAGGUGGAGGUAUAGAGGUAUGGGACUGUAGGUGGAGUGAAAGAGGUAUGUCAACAUCGGCAGACUCAACAGCCUUGGUUUCUCAAAUGACUGCCUCACC